Molecule: ribosomal RNA, 481 nt
Filed under: uncultured bacterium
Lineage: Bacteria
Description: partial 16S ribosomal RNA
Rfam family: Bacterial small subunit ribosomal RNA
Source: RNAcentral
GACGAACGUUGGCGGCGUGCUUAAUACAUGCCAGUCCACUGAAGCAGUGGUAGCAAUAUCGCUGUGGAGGUGGCGCACGGGUGAGUAACACGUAGGUAAUCUGCCUUCAGGUCUGGCAUAACCCCGAGAAACCGGGGCUAAUAGCAGAUGAUGCAGCGGCUCUACAUCGAGACAGUUGUUAAAGCUAUGGCGCCUGAAGAUGAGCCUGCGUCUGAUUAGCUAGUUGGCGGGGUAACGGCCCACCAAGGCAACGAUCAGUAGCUGGUCUGAGAGGAUGAUCGGCCACACUGGAACUGAGACACGGUCCAGAAUACUACGGGAGGCAGCAGUAAGGAAUAUUGCUCAAUGGGAGAAAUCCUGAAGCAGCAACGCCGCGUGAGGGACGAAGGGCUUUUGCUUGUAAACCUCUGUAGUGAGAGAAAAAAAUCCCAAUCUUUGGGACAUGAUGGUAUCUCAAAAGUAAGCCCCGGCUAACUACGUG